This 492-nucleotide ribosomal RNA is filed under the name uncultured bacterium. RNAcentral's name for it is "partial 16S ribosomal RNA". It matches the Rfam family "Bacterial small subunit ribosomal RNA", at positions 29 to 507 of the family's 1533-position model. The record is from RNAcentral.
AGUGAACGCUGGCGGUAGGCCUAACACAUGCAAGUCGAACGGCAGCACAGUAAGAGCUUGCUCUUACGGGUGGCGAGUGGCGGACGGGUGAGGAAUACAUCGGAAUCUACUUUUUCGUGGGGGAUAACGUAGGGAAACUUACGCUAAUACCGCAUACGACCUACGGGUGAAAGCAGGGGAUCUUCGGACCUUGCGCGAUUGAAUGAGCCGAUGUCGGAUUGGCUAGUUGGCGGGGUAAAGGCCCACUAAGGCGACGAUCCGUAGCUGGUCUGAGAGGAUGAUCGGCCGCACUGGAGCGUGAACACGGUCCAUGCUCCUACGAGAGGCAGCAGUGGGGAAUAUUGGACAAUGGGCGCAAGCCUGAUCCAGCCAUACCGCGUGGGUGAAGAAGGCCUUCGGGUUGUAAAGCCCUUUUGUUGGGAAAGAAAAGCAGCAGGUUAAUACCCCGCUGUUCUGACGGUACCCAAAGAAUAAGCACCGGCUAACUUCGUG